Molecule: long non-coding RNA, 219 nt
Filed under: Hordeum vulgare
Lineage: Eukaryota; Viridiplantae; Streptophyta; Magnoliopsida; Poales; Poaceae
Description: long non-coding RNA (HVUL_LNC014552)
Source: RNAcentral
GCAGUUAGCCCCCGAUCGACCGGCUCUGUCAUAUUUUGCACCGUUGUUAGCUUUCUGUCUCGCGACAUGGGAGGCGACAUGGCGGCGGCGCUGCUACUCCGGUGAUGACCGGAGGCGAUGGAGCAGCUGCGGCCACGACUGGCAUGGAGAACGCGAGGAACGAGCCCGCUCGCAAGGGGCCAAAGCUCCCGCGACCAAACGAUCCUCCUGCCCGCUACG